This 1442-nucleotide ribosomal RNA is filed under the name uncultured prokaryote. Its description in RNAcentral is "partial 16S ribosomal RNA". It matches the Rfam family "Bacterial small subunit ribosomal RNA". The record is from RNAcentral.
AGAGUUUGAUCAUGGCUCAGAACGAACGCUGGCGGCGUGGAUAAGACAUGCAAGUCGAACGAGAAACUUUUGGAGCUUGCUUUGGAAGUUUCUAGUGGCGAACGGGUGCGUAACACGUGAGUAACCUGCCCAAGAGAGGGGGAUAGCUCGAGGAAACUCGAAUUAAUUCCUGAGACGACUAAAGGUGGGGAUCUUAGGACCUGCCGCUCUUGGAUGGACUCGCGGCCUAUCAGCUUGUUGGUGAGGUAAAAGCUCACCAAGGCUACGACGGGUAACUGGUCUGAGAGGAUGAUCAGUCACACUGGAACUGAGACACGGUCCAGACACCUACGGGUGGCAGCAGUCGAGAAUCAUUCGCAAUGGACGAAAGUCUGACGGUGCGACGCCGCGUGGAGGAUGAAGGCCCUAGGGUUGUAAACUCCUGUCAUCAGAGAGUAAGGUUUUCCGGAGGUAAUGCCUGGAAAGCUGAUAGUAGCAGAAGAGGAAGGGACGGCUAACUUCUUGCCAGCAGCCGCGGUAAUACGAAGGUCCCAAGCGUUGUUCGUAAUCACUGGGCGUAAAGAGUAUGUAGGCGGUGUGGUAAGUCAGAUGUGAAAUCCCGGGGCUCAACCUCGGAACUGCAUCCGAUACUACCUGGCUAGAGUAUUAGAAGGGAGUCUGGAAUUCUAGGUCUAGCAGUUAAAUGCGUAGCUAUCGAGAGGAACACUAGUGGCGAAGGCGAGACUCAGGACAAUAACUGACGCUGAGAUACGAAGGCCAGGGUAGCGAAAGGGAUUAGAUACCCUUGUAGUCCUGGCAGUAAACGGUGCACGCUUGGUGUGGGAGGAUUCGACCCCUUCCGUGCCGGAGCUAACGCGUUAAGCGUGCCGCCUGGGGAGUACGGCCGCAAGGCUAAAACUCAAAGAAAUUGACGGGGACCCGCACAAGCGGUGGAGCAUGUGGCUUAAUUCGAUGCAACGCGAAGAACCUUACCUAGACUUGACAUGCUCAUCAUACCCUCCCGAAAAGGAGGGUGACCCUUCGGGGACCUUGCACAGGUGCUGCAUGGCUGUCGUCAGCUCGUGUCGUGAGAUGUUUGGUUAAGUCCAGCAACGAGCGCAACCCCUGUGAUCUGUUGCCAGCACGUAAUGGUGGGGACUCUGAUCAGACUGCCCAGAUCAACUGGGAGGAAGGUGGGGAUGACGUCAAGUCUGUAUGGCCCUUACGGCCAGGGCUGCACACGUACUACAAUGCCCAGUACAAUGUGAACCGAGACCGCGAGGUGGAGGAAAUCCUUAAAACUGGGCUCAGUUCGGAUUGGAGGCUGCAACUCGCCUCCAUGAAGUCGGAAUCGCUAGUAAUGGCGCAUCAGCUACGGCGCCGUGAAUACGUUCCCGGGUCUUGUACACACCGCCCGUCACAUCAUGGAAGCCGGCCACACCCGAAGUGUCUACAAUAAGAAG